This 23-nucleotide microRNA is filed under the name Human alphaherpesvirus 2. Its description in RNAcentral is "hsv2-miR-H24". Its record names the gene hsv2-miR-H24. The record is from miRBase by way of RNAcentral. Lineage: Duplodnaviria; Heunggongvirae; Peploviricota; Herviviricetes; Herpesvirales; Orthoherpesviridae.
CUCCGGCGCCUUCCCCCCGCCCU